UGGCUCUCGCAUCGAUGAAGAACGCAGCGAAAUGCGAUACGUAAUGUGAAUUGCAGGUUUCGUGAAUCAUCGAAUCUUUGAACGCAUAUUGCGCUCUCUGGUAUUCCGGAGAGCAUGCCUGUUUGAGCGUCAUUAAAAAAAAAUCAAAACCAUUUGCUUUUUUGGGGCAGUUGGUUUUUGGAAAUGGACAGUUGCAGACUCUUUGUUUGAGCUGCGUUGUCUGAAAAGAAUGGGGUGGAAAGAUGCAAAACCCUUGGCGUAGUAAGAAAAUACGGUCGCCGAGCUUAGAGUGUGGAGCAUUGGAGAGCCCGAAAAAGAAUAGAUGAAUUUUGACCUCAAAUCAGGUAGGGAUACGCGCUGA
RNAcentral lists this unclassified non-coding RNA (361 nucleotides) under uncultured fungus. Its description in RNAcentral is "partial contains 5.8S ribosomal RNA and internal transcribed spacer 2". The stretch from base 1 to 132 matches the Rfam family "5.8S ribosomal RNA", at positions 22 to 154 of the family's 154-position model. The record is from RNAcentral. Lineage: Eukaryota; Fungi.